Pelobates cultripes (western spadefoot toad) is the source of this 284-nucleotide non-coding RNA. The record is from the annotation of a GenBank genome assembly. Lineage: Eukaryota; Metazoa; Chordata; Amphibia; Anura; Pelobatidae.
AGGGUACUGAAGGAAUUUACUUUUGCAGAGGAAAGAGCCCAAGUGUAGGAGCGCAUCUAACCAAAAUGGGAGUUGCAGAUCAGAGCAGAGAACAUCCCAGACACUGUAAACCCUGGCAGACAACGCAUGCAAAGGUAAGUUACAAUGCGAUAGUUUGAACUUAACAUACAAAACUUUACCACUACGGUCUCACUUAUCCAGGGAAGCCAUGGAAAAGCAUCCUCUAUCCAACUGCCGCUCACUGAACAUCACGUGACAGAGACUCUGCCAUCCACAAUAUUCAC